GGGACCAUAGAUCAAUUGGUAGAUCAGCCCUCUUGCACAGAGCAGACAUAGGUUCGAAUCCUAUUGGUUCCA
This is a non-coding RNA of Hemisphaericaspora subhashii, 72 nucleotides long. The record is from the annotation of a RefSeq genome assembly. NCBI's taxonomy places the organism in Eukaryota, Fungi, Ascomycota, Pichiomycetes, Serinales, Debaryomycetaceae.